UGGCUUGCGCCUGCAGCCCAGGCAACCCCGGGCACCUUCGCCCCCUCUCCGAUUGGGGCGGGGGAGGGGAGAGCGCCCGCAAGGACCGAGCGCAAAAAGGGGGUCUCCACAAGUCAGUCCUGUCCUUACCCCCUUCCUGGCGCCUCGGAGAAACUUGGGGUAGGGACGGCAGGCGAGGAGCAAGACCCUUGGGAGCUGGGAGCCCUCUUCCUCGCGGGUGGAAAAAUAAAUUAUUAAGCGCCCAAUACACAAUAGCUUCGCUAGAUGGAGACGAGGAAUCACUGCAGCGGCGCUGGCGGCGGCGGCGGGGAGCGCGGGCGGGAGCGCAGUCCGGGGCGGGAGGCGGGCGAGGCUCUGGCUCGGCUCACGUCUGUUUUCCUUUUUCGUGCAUUAUUUAUUUCGCCUCCGCCCGCAGCCCUGCGGCCCGAGCGGGCGCUCCCGGCCAGCGCCUCUAGUCGCUGCUUCUCGCGGGCCGGCGUGACCGGCCGGGAGAGCUCGGGCACCCCCGCGCCCCGGGCAGCCGCGCGGCGCCACCGGGAAGGGCGGGGACCCGGGGAGGGCACGCGCUGCCGGCUCCAGGCGGCACCGAGGAGACUUUCCCCGCCCUCCGCCUCCGCCUCGGCCGCCCUCCCGGGCCCUGGGCACUGGGUGCCGCCCCUCCCGCCCCGCGCGGCCAGGCGCAGCCGGGAGCCACCGCGCCCUGCGCCCCGUGCGAGCGCGCCGUGCGCCGGCCCCCGGCUCAGCCGCCCGGGAGGCCCAAGCCGCGCGCAAACUUUUGCUCCAGUGCCCAGCGCUCCUCCUCGGCAUGUGAAGCCCCCAGGCGCCCGCGCAGUCACCAGGUUCGCCCCAGGAGCAGGUGCCCCGGGCCGAGAUGCUCCUCCGGGACCUGGUGCUGCGCCGUGGCUGCUGCUGGCCCUCACUGCUGCUGCACUGCGCGCUCCACCCGCUCUGGGGCUUCGUGCAGCUCCCAACGCUACCUCGUGUCCGGCCGAGGAGAGCUGGUGGUCAGGGCUGGCGAUCGUCAUUGCGGUAUGUUGUGCCUCCCUGGUGUUCCUCACUGUGCUUGUCAUCAUUUGCUACAAAGCCAUAAAAAGGAACCAGGCCGUGUAGGGAGCAGCUCGUGCCCAUCUCUUGCUGCCCCGGGGUGCAGAGGCCUGUGUUUGCUUUAGGAGGCCUCCCUGGCUGGGUCCCCACAAGCCUCCCUGGCAUUUCCGGAUCCCCGCGGGGUGCGCUUUAGGAAACCCCUGAGAAAGGAGGAGAACGGCACCAGUGUUGCUGAGUAUCCCAUGACCUCCUCGCAGAGCAACAAAGGGGUGGAUGUGAACAGCGCCGUGGUGUGAGUUCUGCAGGCCCUGGACCGCCGGCCAGAGGGGCACCUUGGUGGCACUAGUGGAUGCGGGGAAGCAAGUGGACAGAAGCUGACAUCGGGCUUGUCCAGGACUUCAUUGCCUCAGAGGCCUUGAGCCUCCCAAAGGAGAACCAUCCUCUCCCCAGCCUUGCCCCUGGUCAGCCCACGGGCAGGGGUGGCGGACACCAGGCCUGGCCAGGCUCACCUGCAUGCAGCACCCAGGCCCGCAGCACCACCCGAGGCUCCCACCUCUCUUCCUCGGCUCGUCCCUGAUCUGCUGACUGUCUCCCGGCUGCUGUCUAAAGCACACGACCUGGGAAGGCAGGGGGUCUGUUGCUGGGGGGAGGUCCCUUCACCAAAAGACCAGGGAUCCAGGCGCCACGCUCCCGCCAAAACAUCUCCUCCCCUCCCCCAGGAAGCCCACCUGCUUCUUCCUUGACCACGCUGUUCCCAGCAGAAGCCAUGGGUGCAGCCAUGAGACGUCCCCUUUCAAAGGUGCUUCCCACCCACCUGUCCGCCACCCCCACCUGCAGUCGCCUCGGUUCAGGGCCUGCCUUCUCCCUCCUGUCCCCACCAACCCCUGGCCCUGACUCCCUGUCACAGAGGGCUGUGAGCCCAGCCUGCAGAGUCCCCUCCUGAUGGAGCAAAACGACUCCCUGAACCCCAGGUCCCAGGAAGGACAGGGGCCACUCCGCUGUCCAGACUCAUUCCCACCACCGCCGCCCCCCUUCCCGAGGAACUGACGCUUCUGCGUGAGCCAGGCCUUGCCUUCCCCUGGCAGAGGCCACCACUUGUGCCAAACCCACUGCAGGCGCUCUGGGCUGGGCCCACCUGGCCUGGUACUGAUGCUGUCCCCUCUCCCCCUGCUGCUCCCUGAGGUCUGGUACUCAGACCCUCUUCUGAGAAGCCCCAGGCCCCCAUCAUCCAGGAGGAGGCAGCAUUCUUCCGGUGGCUCCCUUUAAAUGUCCCUUUCCGAGGUCUUAUGCCCUAAAAGUGCUGAACCCUCCAGAGUGGUUGGGGACAAAUGGAAGGAGAGAAGAUGGGAGGAGAGGGACCCCGGUGGCCCCCAUCUGCUGGCCUAUUUCCCAGGCAGCUGCCCACCCACUGCUAGGCCCAUGGAGGCAGCAGCCUCGCGGGUUUGCAUCCAGAGCACCGCCAGUUCCGGGCUUCCCCCACCACCCAGAGGCUCGCUCAGAAGGAACCGGACACGUGCCCAGUGUGGUUCCACCUUCUGGCUGCACAGGGUCUUAGCUGGUGGGUGUCCCUGCCUCCCAACCACCCAUGUAGCUUUCAGGAGGGUAUUUGAGCCACAGGCGAGGCUUUCACAUCCAGGUGAGACUAACAGACUGAGAAGCAGUCCCCACUUGGGCUGAAUUUGAACCAUCCAUCAUCCAAGGCCCUGGUGCCCACAGUGGUGUCUGUGUGCCCAGAGCAGGGGGAGAAGGUGAGUGGCGUGACCCUAACCCCCACCCCCCCCCGUCAGCAGGUGCAGUCUGAGCACAGGCCCAGGGCAGGAGCCCCCCACCCCCCAAGAAAAGGUUUUUCCUUCUUUUCAGUUUUGCUCCUGUGUGAGGACUUGAUUUGGGUCUGGAUUGGAGUUUGCUGUCCCUGUGCCCCUUAGCACAGGGCCAGCCGCAGCCCUCAGCCCUGCUCUCACCUGGUCAGCACGUACAUUGCUCGUGGUUGAUGCCCCCCCCCACUUCACAAAGAUGCAGGGCCAGCGGCUGAGGGUCCUCAACAGGGGAGGUCCCCCCAGCCCCCCCCCCGCCAGUGUACUUCCCCCACCACCUGCAGCCUCUUCCUGAGUCCCCUGCCUGUUUCCAGAACAGACACCCAGGCAGGACCCCGGCCCUAAGCAUGUGCCAUCCUGGGCUCAGAAGCAAUGGGAGGGUACUUUUGACCAGAGGGGAAAAUCCUGGCUAAGCGGUCGUGGGGUGCUGGGCAGCCCAUGUGGGGGACAUCAAGAUGGGCAGGGCACAGCCCAGCUUUGCACAAACCCACUGGUCUCACCUUCCCCAACUUGGACUUAAACUUGGGAGGCCCGGACUUUGCAAUUUGCCUAAUCCUCCAGCUGUAGAGAGGAUUCUAUGAGCAUCCAGUGAACCAUCCAGCCUUCACUCUGGGGCUGGGAGCCCCUGCCCUGGAGACACACAAGCAGGGCGCCAGGAAAAGUUAACGUUUGCUCAUAAAUUCCCCCAGCUUGGGUUUGUCCAGUCUCUCUCCCCCAGUUGGUGUAAACGAAGAGAAGAGCCCAGUUUGUAAAAGCAAUUUCACUUGAGAACAAACCCAGCACCGGCCCUUUGGAAGACAGCUCUCACAGGGGCAGUGAGACGGCCCCAAUGGAUUUUCCGCUGAAGCCACAGAAGCAUCCCGAAAAACCGCACCAGCCUGGUAUUCGAGCAUAGAAUUUUAAUUUGAGGAACAUUUCUGCAGCCCCUAAACACAGACCCAUCCUCAGACCAGUCUGAAUUUUGAGGUUGAGAAUGAAAUGCGUGUUCCUUCUCUGCAUUUUCUCAAAAAUAGGUAUUUUUCAGCCAUCUCCUAGUUGAGCCCACCUUUAGAAUGGCAUAUAAGAUCUCCCAGAGUUUUCAGGUGUUCCUUAGAAGCUUCUCAAGCAAGUUUUGGAAGGCAGACUAAUAGCUGUAAAAAUAUAGACAUAUAUAUUAUAUAUAGUUAUAUAUAUUUAAAGAGAUCUAUCUAUAUAUAUAUACAUAUAAAAUUACUGUACUCUCUGACUCGGGACAAAGUAUGAUUUAAACAGCCCAGCUAGCAUCAGAUUUCUAAUGCAUGAAUGUAAAUACCCUGAGACCUGCCUUCCUAGCGCUGUGUCGCGUGUUCACGGGGAGAUAGAUGGCUCUUGUUCCCAGGAGUUCUGUCUCCAUGGACAAAUAAAUGUACAUGUCGGGGCCAUCCUGGCCCCCUCCGCGAGCCACCGAUGUUGACUUUGUGCUGAGAUGUCGCGCAGGGAGCAGGGCUGGCGGCGGCGGGGGUAGGCUCCAUGCCCUUGUGAGGAAGAAAGCACCAGGCCUUUUUUAUUUUCAAUAAAAAAUGUACUUAUGCAGA
This is an RNA transcript of Sus scrofa (pig), 4411 nucleotides long. It is a transcript of the gene named proline rich membrane anchor 1, with no coding region annotated. Lineage: Eukaryota; Metazoa; Chordata; Mammalia; Artiodactyla; Suidae. The record is from RefSeq and is marked provisional.